RNAcentral lists this ribosomal RNA (694 nucleotides) under uncultured bacterium. RNAcentral describes it as "bacterial SSU rRNA". It matches the Rfam family "Bacterial small subunit ribosomal RNA", at positions 111 to 822 of the family's 1533-position model. The record is from RNAcentral.
UAACGCGUGGGUAACCUGCCUCAUACAGGGGGAUAACAGUUAGAAAUGACUGCUAAUACCGCAUAAGACCACGGAGCCGCAUGGCUCAGUGGGAAAAACUCCGGUGGUAUGAGAUGGACCCGCGUCUGAUUAGCUAGUUGGUGAGGUAACGGCCCACCAAGGCGACGAUCGGUAGCCGGACUGAGAGGUUGAACGGCCACAUUGGGACUGAGACACGGCCCAGACUCCUACGGGAGGCAGCAGUGGGGAAUAUUGCACAAUGGGGGAAACCCUGAUGCAGCGACGCCGCGUGGAGGAAGAAGGUCUUCGGAUUGUAAACUCCUGUUGUUGAGGAAGAUAAUGACGGUACUCAACAAGGAAGUGACGGCUAACUACGUGCCAGCAGCCGCGGUAAAACGUAGGUCACAAGCGUUGUCCGGAAUUACUGGGUGUAAAGGGAGCGCAGGCGGGAAGACAAGUUGGAAGUGAAAUCUAUGGGCUCAACCCAUAAACUGCUUUCAAAACUGUUUUUCUUGAGUAGUGCAGAGGUAGGCGGAAUUCCCGGUGUAGCGGUGGAAUGCGUAGAUAUCGGGAGGAACACCAGUGGCGAAGGCGGCCUACUGGGCACCAACUGACGCUGAGGCUCGAAAGUGUGGGUAGCAAACAGGAUUAGAUACCCUGGGUAGUCCACACCGUAAACGAUGAUUACUAGGUG